Molecule: ribosomal RNA, 253 nt
Filed under: uncultured bacterium
Lineage: Bacteria
Description: partial 16S ribosomal RNA
Rfam family: Bacterial small subunit ribosomal RNA
Source: RNAcentral
UACGUAGGUGGCGAGCGUUGUCCGGAUUUACUGGGCGUAAGGGGAGCGUAGGCGGACUUUUAAGUGAGAUGUGAAAUACUCGGGCUCAACUUGAGUGCUGCAUUUCAAACUGGAAGUCUAGAGUGCAGGAGAGGAGAAUGGAAUUCCUAGUGUAGCGGUGAAAUGCGUAGAGAUUAGGAAGAACACCAGUGGCGAAGGCGAUUCUCUGGACUGUAACUGACGCUGAGGCUCGAAAGCGUGGGGAGCAAAUAGG